CACCCCACCCCUGCCACUUUCCUCCGUUGGUGUCCAUACGUUUGUUCUCUACAUCUGUGUCUCUGUUUAGGGCAGACUUGUUUUUAAUGCUAACAUUUUUUCAGGGCUUACUGUCUACCAGGCACAGUUGGAAAGCUGUAUAUGUGUUAUAUAUUUCAUCUCAUUCACAACCACUCCAGCAACUGCCUGAGCUACAUACUAGUAUUGCCUCCAUUCUACAGAUGAAGAAAAUGAGAAAACAGAGAUUGAAGAAUUCGCCCAAGGCCACAUGCAAGCCCGUAGGAGAUGAAGGUGGGAUUCCAGCCCAGGCAGCUUGACUCUCAAGACCAAACCAGGGAAUGCUGCCUGGGGGAGGGUGAGUUUCCCCAGGCUCAGAUUGUUCUCUGGUAAUCUGAUCAUAAGUGGCUGGGCUGGUCUUCAGGCCAUCUGGUCCUACCCCUCAUCUUCCUGUUGACCAGGCUGAUUCUGCAAGAGGCAAGGUGGCUGCUGUAGGGUGUCCUCCCUUCCUCCAGGGGGCGGAGCCAGGAUGACAGCCUGAGUGAUGGGACCUUGUGAUGGAGCCUACACUGAGCAGCAUGCAUUUUACUUGUAAUCAGAAAGAAAUCUAGCUAUUUCUCCAAAAGAAGUCCCUGUAUUGAGGAUUCAGAUCUAAGAAGAGUGAGCCCCCAGGAGGGUGGGCAGGUUGCACGCGGAGACCCGGAAACCCCGGACGUGAAAGCAGCCACUGGAAAGUUUCACAUUUUAUAUGGGGUUCAUAUUCUCUUUCUACUGGAUGGCACUGAGUCGGUGGGAAUCAGCUGGAGAGAGAACAGCCCUUUGGUUGGAGAGAGCGAGUAAUUGGACCCAGACCUGGAGGAGACUUUGAGGCAAACGGGGAGCUCAACUGCUUCGUGUGAGAAAGGAGAAGAGAAAGUAACAGACUAGGACGAGGACAGGCAAGUGUGGGGCUGGGUUUCAGGGGACAGAGAAAAUGAAGAGAGGAUGGGAGGGAAGCCCAGGAACAGGACAGUAGCCGGAGACCAGGGAACAGGUGGCUGAGGAAGGACUCCCCGAGCCCCUGGGGCAGGGCCAGCAGUGAGUUUUGCCAGCAGUGAGGUCAGCUGAUAAAUUUUAAAUGGGUUACUGAUCUAUGCCAUGAUACUCCUCUGCUGUCCCUGCACCCCAAGGACAGACCGUGUGGGGCUGGGGACGCCGUGUCCCUGCUUGGACAGCAGGGCUGGGUGAGGACGGUGAUGUGCCAGGCAGUGGCCCGAGAGCCCAAGGGGAGGAGGGAAAGUGAGGAACAAGGGUGCCGGACGAGGGGUCAGGCAAGGACGACGUGACAGGUACCCAGAAAUGCUUGGAAGGAUCCCCAAGAGCCCUGAGCUGCUGCUGGCAGGGAGGUGCAAGGCAGCUGAAGAUUUUCACUUGGUUUUGAAGGGAAGGAUCUCCCCAGCCGGCUGGCCGACACUGGGACCCUUCGCCACAUUACGCAGGGCGUUGUAAUACCCUCUGGGGUGGGGUGCUGGGCAGCAGCGGCUGAGAAGUUUGGUGGCAGUGCUGGCGGGGAAGGUGGGGAAGUGGAACCAAGCAAUGCCAGUAGCCACGUCAGCAAAUAACGUGGAAAGCUCUCCGGGAUCAGCUGUCCCGGGGCGGGGGUGGGGCAGGGUGUCCUGCGUGUUCUGCGGGGGCCCCCCUGCGAGACACCCACACCCCUCUCGGCCUGCUCUGGGUCUCGGGAGGCUGGCUUGUAACGUCUACACACACAGGCCUCUUUGCCCCAGACUCCUGAGGUGGGUUGGCUGACGGGGGCCCUGCUGAAGAUCCAGGGCGUGAGUGGCGUCUGAGGGCAGGUGUUUAGUCCCGGGCUCCUUCCCUGCAUUGCGGUACCUUGUCCCUCUACCUUGAGGCCUCUCCGCAAAGUGCUGUCUCUCUCUGUCUCUCAGUCUCUGGCUUCCAGCAUCUCCUAUCUCUCAUCCCUGCAGGCUCUCCAUGGUCCCCAGCCCUGGCGAAUUUCACAUUCCUAUUCCUUCCCCCCUCAGCCAACCACACCUUUGUCAACAGCCUUUCACUAACUCUUCUUCACUUAUCCAGCUCGACUCUGCCAUUCGCUUCUUACAGAGACCCUGACCGAUACCAGGAUGUACCAUACGCUAAAACUUUUGUGCACUUAAGGGAGAAGACAGAGUGAAAAUACACGUUUGAAUUUACAGAAAGGAAUAUGGGAAAGGUACAUGAGAAACUAAUAACAGUAGCAGGUAUAGUGGGAGGAAUCAGUGAACUGGGGCAGAGGUAGAGCGAGAUUUCCCAUUGUAUCUAAUUUAUAUUAUUUUGAUUUUGAACCGUGUGAAUUAUUAUCUGUCACAGCGGUCCCCAGCCUUUUUGGCACCAGGGACCGGUUUCUUGGAAGACAGUUUUUCCACAGAUGGGGUG
Long non-coding RNA from Aethalodelphis obliquidens (Pacific white-sided dolphin), 2412 nucleotides. RefSeq lists it as uncharacterized. The transcript is spliced from 3 exons. NCBI's taxonomy places the organism in Eukaryota, Metazoa, Chordata, Mammalia, Artiodactyla, Delphinidae. The record is from RefSeq and is a predicted model, not a curated record.